UACGUAGGGGGCAAGCGUUGUCCGGAAUCAUUGGGCGUAAAGAGCGCGUAGGCGGUCCGGUAAGUCUGCCGUGAAAGCCGGGGGCUCAACCCUCGGAUGCCGGUGGAUACUGUCGGGCUAGAGUCCGGAAGAGGCGAGUGGAAUUCCUGGUGUAGCGGUGAAAUGCGCAGAUAUCAGGAAGAACACCGAUGGCGAAGGCAGCUCGCUGGGACGGAACUGACGCUGAGGCGCGAAAGCGUGGGGAGCAAACAGG
Molecule: ribosomal RNA, 253 nt
Filed under: uncultured bacterium
Lineage: Bacteria
Description: partial 16S ribosomal RNA
Rfam family: Bacterial small subunit ribosomal RNA
Source: RNAcentral